Molecule: ribosomal RNA, 543 nt
Filed under: Hylomyscus simus
Lineage: Eukaryota; Metazoa; Chordata; Mammalia; Rodentia; Muridae
Description: partial 16S ribosomal RNA
Rfam family: Bacterial large subunit ribosomal RNA
Source: RNAcentral
CACCUCUAGCAUUUCAAGUAUUAGAGGCAUUGCCUGCCCAGUGACUAUAGUUAAACGGCCGCGGUAUCCUGACCGUGCAAAGGUAGCAUAAUCAUUUGUUCCUUAAUUAGGGACUAGUAUGAACGGCUAGACGAGGGAUCAACUGUCUCUUAUUUUUAAUCAGUGAAAUUGACCUUCCAGUGAAGAGGCUGGAAUAUAAUAAUAAGACGAGAAGACCCUAUGGAGCUUAAAUUAACAAGCUUAAUUAUUAACUUCAACACCCUAAUGGAAUAAAACAAAAAAUAUAAGCUUAAAAUUUUGGUUGGGGUGACCUCGGAGAAUAAAAAAUCCUCCGAAAGAUAUAUAACAUAGACCUACAAGUCAAAGUAACUAUAAUAUCUAAUUGACCCAAAAAUUGAUCAACGGACCAAGUUACCCUAGGGAUAACAGCGCAAUCCUAUUUAAGAGUCCAUAUCGACAAUAGGGUUUACGACCUCGAUGUUGGAUCAGGACAUCCCAAUGGUGCAGAAGCUAUUAAUGGUUCGUUUGUUCAACGAUUAAAGU